RNAcentral lists this long non-coding RNA (450 nucleotides) under Theobroma cacao (cacao). RNAcentral describes it as "long non-coding RNA (TCAC_LNC000594)". Lineage: Eukaryota; Viridiplantae; Streptophyta; Magnoliopsida; Malvales; Malvaceae. The record is from RNAcentral.
AUGAUUUUAAUUCUAACCUAACCCUAAUUGCCAACCCUUGCCCAUUUCUUCAUUUUUGCUCUCUUCUUCUUCUUCCACUGGCACCAGCCAACCCCUUUCUCUAAACCCUCUGUCCAUUACUUAGUCCCCAGCACCGUCGCCCUUGUUGGCUUAAGCCUUUCCGGCAGUGGCUUCCUCUUUCUUUCCCUUUCCUCGUUUCUUCUCUUCCCCUUCCUUCUACCGCCAGUUUCUUCUCUAUCUAAAAAAGCCUAACCACCGUUCUCCUCCGGCAAUUUGGGUUUUCUUUUAAAAGUCUUGCCUCAAAUUUAAAACCCCAUUUAAAAUCCCUUUCCUUAAAGUUGGGCGUGGGCACCCUUUAAAAGCAUUUUUCAUUAUUUUUGUUUGGCUCAAUCAAUAACAGUUUGUGUUUUCUAAUCACACUGUAAGCUACCACGUGUUAAAAUAAAAAAA